GGGGCAGUGCGCGNUGCUAUACAUGCAGUAGAACGCUGAAGAGAGGAGCUUGCUCUUCUUGGAUGAGUUGCGAACGGGUGAGUAACGCGUAGGUAACCUGCCUUGUAGCGGGGGAUAACUAUUGGAAACGAUAGCUAAUACCGCAUAACAAUGGAUGACACAUGUCAUUUAUUUGAAAGGGGCAAUUGCUCCACUACAAGAUGGACCUGCGUUGUAUUAGCUAGUAGGUGAGGUAAUGGCUCACCUAGGCGACGAUACAUAGCCGACCUGAGAGGGUGAUCGGCCACACUGGGACUGAGACACGGCCCAGACUCCUACGGGAGGCAGCAGUAGGGAAUCUUCGGCAAUGGGGGCAACCCUGACCGAGCAACGCCGCGUGAGUGAAGAAGGUUUUCGGAUCGUAAAGCUCUGUUGUAAGUCAAGAACGGGUGUGAGAGUGGAAAGUUCACACUGUGACGGUAGCUUACCAGAAAGGGACGGCUAACUACGUGCCAGCAGCCGCGGUAAUACGUAGGUCCCGAGCGUUGUCCGGAUUUAUUGGGCGUAAAGCGAGCGCAGGCGGUUUGAUAAGUCUGAAGUUAAAGGCUGUGGCUCAACCAUAGUUCGCUUUGGAAACUGUCAAACUUGAGUGCAGAAGGGGAGAGUGGAAUUCCAUGUGUAGCGGUGAAAUGCGUAGAUAUAUGGAGGAACACCGGUGGCGAAAGCGGCUCUCUGGUCUGUAACUGACGCUGAGGCUCGAAAGCGUGGGGAGCGAACAGGAUUAGAUACCCUGGUAGUCCACGCCGUAAACGAUGAGUGCUAGGUGUUGGAUCCUUUCCGGGAUUCAGUGCCGCAGCUAACGCAUUAAGCACUCCGCCUGGGGAGUACGACCGCAAGGUUGAAACUCAAAGGAAUUGACGGGGGCCCGCACAAGCGGUGGAGCAUGUGGUUUAAUUCGAAGCAACGCGAAGAACCUUACCAGGUCUUGACAUCCCGAUGCUAUUUCUAGAGAUAGAAAGUUACUUCGGUACAUCGGUGACAGGUGGUGCAUGGUUGUCGUCAGCUCGUGUCGUGAGAUGUUGGGUUAAGUCCCGCAACGAGCGCAACCCCUAUUGUUAGUUGCCAUCAUUCAGUUGGGCACUCUAGCGAGACUGCCGGUAAUAAACCGGAGGAAGGUGGGGAUGACGUCAAAUCAUCAUGCCCCUUAUGACCUGGGCUACACACGUGCUACAAUGGUUGGUACAACGAGUUGCGAGUCGGUGACGGCGAGCUAAUCUCUUAAAGCCAAUCUCAGUUCGGAUUGUAGGCUGCAACUCGCCUACAUGAAGUCGGAAUCGCUAGUAAUCGCGGAUCAGCACGCCGCGGUGAAUACGUUCCCGGGCCUUGUACACACCGCCCGUCACACCACGAGAGUUUGUAACACCCGAAGUCGGUGAGGUAACCUUUGGAGCCAGCCGCCUAAGGUGGACCAGAAAGGGG
Molecule: ribosomal RNA, 1458 nt
Filed under: Streptococcus thermophilus
Lineage: Bacteria; Bacillati; Bacillota; Bacilli; Lactobacillales; Streptococcaceae
Description: bacterial SSU rRNA
Rfam family: Bacterial small subunit ribosomal RNA
Source: RNAcentral